RNAcentral lists this ribosomal RNA (280 nucleotides) under uncultured bacterium. RNAcentral describes it as "partial 16S ribosomal RNA". It matches the Rfam family "Bacterial small subunit ribosomal RNA", at positions 491 to 770 of the family's 1533-position model. The record is from RNAcentral.
CCACGGCUAACUACGUGCCAGCAGCCGCGGUAAUACGUAGGUGGCAAGCGUUAUCCGGAAUUAUUGGGCGUAAAGAGCGCGCAGGUGGUUAAUUAAGUCUGAUGUGAAAGCCCCCGGCUCAACCGGGGAGGGUCAUUGGAAACUGGGAGACUUGAGUGCAGAAGAGGAGAGUGGAAUUCCAUGUGUAGCGGUGAAAUGCGUAGAUAUAUGGAGGAACACCAGUGGCGAAGGCGGCCUGCUGGACUGUAACUGACGUUGAGGCUCGAAAGCGUGGGGAGCA